Molecule: non-coding RNA, 112 nt
Filed under: Franconibacter helveticus
Lineage: Bacteria; Pseudomonadati; Pseudomonadota; Gammaproteobacteria; Enterobacterales; Enterobacteriaceae
Description: Magnesium Sensor
Rfam family: Magnesium riboswitch aptamer (Magnesium responsive RNA element)
About the family: The Magnesium sensor RNA element is a cis-regulatory element that regulates the expression of the magnesium transporter protein MgtA. It is located in the 5' UTR of this gene.
Source: RNAcentral
CUUACCGGAGGCUGCAUGGACCCCGAUCCGACCCCUCUCCCUGAACGGGAGAAAUUAACCCGGUAAGCCAGCCUGUUGUCGUUGUCUUGCCGGUCUUUCAGGACAGCGACGU